RNAcentral lists this long non-coding RNA (845 nucleotides) under Cavia porcellus (domestic guinea pig). RNAcentral describes it as "lncRNA (ENSCPOG00000031972.1)". Lineage: Eukaryota; Metazoa; Chordata; Mammalia; Rodentia; Caviidae. The record is from RNAcentral.
CCCGCUGCUCUCUGGCCCAUCCUAGCCGGACAUCGGGACUGUGCAGCUCUACCAAGCGCUGUCCCCGGAAGAAUCAAGGACUGGGGCCUCAGCCUGCAGCCCCGUGCUUGUCAACCCACCUGGGACCCGCUGACCUCCUUGCUGUGUACGUCUGUGAUGGUGUCGAUCAAGUUGUCGAUGAUGACGACCUGGCCCUGCAGCCAGAUGCCCGAAGCCUGUCGCGUGGCCGCAUGCAACAGCAUCAGGUAGGGCAGCACCACCAGCUGGAGGGCAGAGUGGGCUGCUGGGGUGGUGGCUGGCCUGGUCCUGUGGGGAACCUACCCUCCCACCUCGGUCCUGAUGGAGCUGUGUUGUUUCCUACCCAGACCAUCCAUGUGUAGGGAAAUUCAGAGAGAAAGUGACCACGUAGACCUGUGACUGCAGCCGCAGCCCAUCUCAGAAGUAUGGACAUAGCAGGCUUGGAGUGGACCAAGGAUAAGAAGGAACUGGGGAAUCCCUGAUGCUGACCUCCCCUAAGCCCUCAGGUGGCUCUGAGGCCCAGGAACCAACAAUGAUCUCCAGUGCUAGGGCUGCUGCCUCUCCGCUGUGCAGCUGUGUAACCUCGGAGACAGUUUCCUUAUCUGCAGCUCGACAAACUCUGCCUCAGCUGAGGGCAGAGGAGUGGAGGGCGGUCCUCCUCGUUCUCAUCCUCGUCCACCCUAAGGGACAGAAUACGCCACAGUCUCCCCUCAGCAACUCAGCUAGGCGAGGGACAGCUCUGUUCCUGGACACUUACUGAGCUGUGGGGGAUCAGAACUGAGACCCGGCAGACUUCACCCUGCAGUGAGGCACCCUACAACCACAGG